RNAcentral lists this ribosomal RNA (365 nucleotides) under Paravaejovis confusus. RNAcentral's name for it is "partial 16S ribosomal RNA". Lineage: Eukaryota; Metazoa; Arthropoda; Arachnida; Scorpiones; Vaejovidae. The record is from RNAcentral.
UUGUCUUUUAAUUAAGGACUGGAAUGAAAGGUUUGACUAUGUAUUUCUGUCUUAUGAUAAUAUUUUGAAAUUUAUAUUUUAGUAAAAAAGCUAAAAUUAUCUAUAGGGACGAGAAGACCCUAUCAAGUUUUACAAUCCAAAAUUUAUUUUCAAAUUAAAUUUUAAAUUGUUUUGCUGGGGCAGCAGAUAAAAAUUUUUUAUUUUAAAAUUAUGAUAAAUAAAUCUUGAAAAAUCAAAAAAUUUUUAAUUAAAAAUAAAUUACUGUAGGGAUAACAGCAUAAUUUUUUUAGAGAGUUCUUAUCAUCAAAAAAGUUUGUGACCUCGAUGUUGGAUUAAAAUUCCUGAUUCGUGCAAUAAUGAAAUAA